RNAcentral lists this ribosomal RNA (729 nucleotides) under uncultured eukaryote. Its description in RNAcentral is "SSU rRNA". It matches the Rfam family "Eukaryotic small subunit ribosomal RNA", at positions 670 to 1426 of the family's 1831-position model. The record is from RNAcentral.
CGGGUGCACUGAUCCAGCCGGGCCUUUCCCUCUGUGGAACCCCAUGGCCUUCACUGGCUGUGGUGGGGAAACAGGACUUUUACUUUGAAAAAAUUAGAGUGCUCCAGGCAGGCCUAUGCUCGAAUACAUUAGCAUGGAAUAAUAGAAUAGGACGUGUGGUUCUAUUUUGUUGGUUUCUAGGACCGCCGUAAUGAUUAAUAGGGACAGUCGGGGGCACCAGUAUUCAAUUGUCAGAGGUGAAAUUCUUGGAUCUAUUGAAGACUAACUACUGCGAAAGCAUUUGCCAAGGAUGUUUUCAUUGAUAAGGAACGAAAGUUAGGGGAUCGAAGACGAUCAGAUACCGUCGUAGUCUUAACUAUAAACUAUGCCGACUAGGGAUCGGACGAUGUUAUUCUUUGACGCGUUCGGCACCUUUCGAGAAAUCAAAGUGCUUGGGCUCCAGGGGGAGUAUGGUCGCAAGGCUGAAACUUAAAGAAAUUGACGGAAGGGCACCACCAGGGGUGGAACCUGCGGCUUAAUUUGACUCAACACGGGGAAACUCACCAGGUCCAGACACAGUGAGGAUUGACAGAUUGAGAGCUCUUUCUUGAUUCUGUGGGUGGUGGUGCAUGGCCGUUCUUAGUUGGUGGAGUGAUUUGUCUGCUUAAUUGCGAUAACGAACGAGACCUUAACCUGCUAAAUAGCCCGUACUGCUUUGGCAGUUCGCCGGCUUCUUAGAGGGACUAUCGG